RNAcentral lists this ribosomal RNA (440 nucleotides) under uncultured bacterium. Its description in RNAcentral is "partial 16S ribosomal RNA". It matches the Rfam family "Bacterial small subunit ribosomal RNA", at positions 338 to 795 of the family's 1533-position model. The record is from RNAcentral.
CCUACGGGAGGCUGCAGUGGGGGAUAUUGCACAAUGGGGGAAACCCUGAUGCAGCGACGCCGCGUGGGUGAAGAAGCGCCUCGGCGCGUAAAGCCCUGUCAGCAGGGAAGAAAAUGACGGUACCUGAAGAAGAAGCCCCGGCUAACUACGUGCCAGCAGCCGCGGUAAUACGUAGGGGGCAAGCGUUAUCCGGAUUUACUGGGUGUAAAGGGGGCGCAGACGGCGAUGCAAGCCAGGAGUGAAAGCCCGGGGCCCAACCCCGGGACUGCUCUUGGAACUGCGUGGCUAGAGUGCAGGAGGGGCAGGCGGAAUGCCUGGUGUAGCGGGGAAAUGCGUAGAUAGCAGGAGGAACACCGGUGGCGAAGGCGGCCUGCUGGACUGCAACUGACGUUGAGGCCCGAAAGCGUGGGGAGCAAACAGGAUUAGAUACCCUAGUAGUC